Molecule: ribosomal RNA, 470 nt
Filed under: uncultured organism
Description: partial 16S ribosomal RNA
Rfam family: Bacterial small subunit ribosomal RNA
Source: RNAcentral
CGUACACUCCUGCGGGAGGCAGCAGUGAGGAAUAUUGGACAAUGGGUGGAAGCCUGAUCCAGCCAUCCCGCGUGCAGGAAGACGGCCCUAUGGGUUGUAAACUGCUUUUAUCUGGGGAUAAACCUACUUACGUGUAAGUAGCUGAAGGUACCAGAAGAAUAAGCACCGGCUAACUCCGUGCCAGCAGCCGCGGUAAUACGGAGGGUGCAAGCGUUAUCCGGAUUUAUUGGGUUUAAAGGGUCCGUAGGCGGACUGAUAAGUCAGUGGUGAAAUCCGACAGCUUAACUGUCGAACUGCCAUUGAUACUGUUAGUCUUGAGUAAGGUUGAAGUGGCUGGAAUAAGUAGUGUAGCGGUGAAAUGCAUAGAUAUUACUUAGAACACCAAUUGCGAAGGCAGGUCACUAAGUCUUAACUGACGCUGAUGGACGAAAGCGUGGGGAGCGAACAGGAUUAGAAACCCCAGUAGUCCC